Molecule: long non-coding RNA, 186 nt
Organism: Sphaeramia orbicularis (orbiculate cardinalfish)
Lineage: Eukaryota; Metazoa; Chordata; Actinopteri; Kurtiformes; Apogonidae
Exons: 5
Source: RefSeq, a predicted model, not a curated record
CUCAGGGUAAGGGCUAACUCAGGUUAAGGGCUAACUCAGGUUAAUACUCAGGUUAAGGGUUAACUCAGGUUAAGGGCUAACUCAGGUUAAGGGCUAACUCAGGUUAAUACUCAGGUUAAGGGUUAACUCAGGUUAAUACUCAGGUUAAGGGCUAACUCAGGUUAAGGGCUAACUCAGGUUAAUACU